GACGAACGCUGGCGGCGUGCUUAACACAUGCAAGUCGAACGGAAAGGCCCUGCUUUUGUGGGGUGCUCGAGUGGCGAACGGGUGAGUAACACGUGAGUAACCUGCCCUUGACUUUGGGAUAACUUCAGGAAACUGGGGCUAAUACCGGAUAGGAGCUCCUGCUGCAUGGUGGGGGUUGGAAAGUUUCGGCGGUUGGGGAUGGACUCGCGGCUUAUCAGCUUGUUGGUGGGGUAGGGGCUUACCAAGGCUUUGACGGGUAGCCGGCCUGGGAGGGGGACCGGCCACCAUGGGACUGAGAUACGGCGCAGUCUCCUACGGGAGGCAGCAGUGGGGAAUAUUGCACAAUGGGCGGAAGCCUGAUGCAGCAACGCCGCGUGCGGGAUGACGGCCUUCGGGUUGUAAACCGCUUUCGCCUGUGACGAAGCGGGAGUGACGGUAAUGGGUAAAGAAGCACCGGCUAACUACGUG
RNAcentral lists this ribosomal RNA (468 nucleotides) under uncultured bacterium. RNAcentral describes it as "partial 16S ribosomal RNA". It matches the Rfam family "Bacterial small subunit ribosomal RNA", at positions 28 to 507 of the family's 1533-position model. The record is from RNAcentral.